RNAcentral lists this long non-coding RNA (2567 nucleotides) under Pandoravirus quercus. Its description in RNAcentral is "hypothetical ncRNA". The record is from RNAcentral.
CGGGUCAGGGCGUCAGACCGGAAAGGAGAUCGUCGUACCCACUUACAAUACGCCCAUGGAAUGAAUGCGCUCAACGAUGGCCUCUUGGUCUACCGGUCUGCCGGUGGUGUCGUCGGCAUGAUCGACCACGAGGCAAUUGUAAAAGACGCAGCCGCCGACGGCAGCGUCGAAAAAGGCGGUCUGGUAGAAUCGACAGUCGACAAAGACGCACGCGGUCAGCGUGGCGCCCGCAAAGGAGGCGCCGUCAAACCGCUGGCCGAAAAAGUGGACGGCAGCGAGCCGCGACCCGAGAAAAGAGGCUCUGCCAACGUCUGCCACGACGACACUGUGCGAUUGAAGAUAGGCCGUCGGCGCCGGAUCCCUAUCCUCGGCCUCGAACGGUUGCAGGGUUGGGUCGGCAGGUGGAUCUGCAGGCGGACCGAGUCUCCAGGGACCUCGUGGAUCCCACGCGGGAUGGCGCACUUCAAUGUGUCUAAUGACGAGGCCGUCGAAUCCGCCCAGAAUCUGUUCCUCUGUAGGACCGGGCACAGAAAGAGACCUGCCCAAGGCCAUCAUGGCCCAUGGAUCGAUCGUGGACCGUCUCUCGUCCAGGGCGCCCAUUGUUUCUGCAACGAUGACGCGCACGCGCUCACUGGCAAGUGCGCAUGAUCGAGGGUACCGAGCGGCCGUGUCGCGCACAGCCCACGCCAAGAGACGAGGCGACGCCUUGGCCAUCCACGCGCACCAAGGCAAUCGCCAGUCGCGACCGGCGCACAGUUCAGCGCCUGUCUCGGGGUCAAUGUCGCGAUGAGGGCCGGCAACACGGUGCCACGUGGUGAGGCGGUCGCGCGCAUAGAGGCGUCCACUCGACACAAAAUCACAGUCGGAUGCGGGGACGAGGGCACCCGUCAGAAAGCAUCGCACGUGCGGCACACCGACAGACUUGUCGGCGUCCUCUUUUUCCGUCCCAAUCGAAAGCACCUGUCCAAAGGGCAGACCCAAACCGAGCACCGUUGGAUCGCAAUCGUCCUCGGACGGACGCCAGUCGAGCGACGCUGCGCCCUUGGUGGCGCUGUCGGCCAAGGCACGUGUACAGUCGGCCGCAACCUCGGGAUCAAUUAGGCGAUGCGGCGAGGCCAGAUAGGUUGCCCAUAGUCGUGCCUCUUGUGAAUGCGGGUCGGCCGGCAGGACGGCAAAGUCUCUGCGCCGUGUGUCGGGCGUCGCGGUCCACGUGUGACCCCAAAUGCGACGGCCGGCAAGGCGCGGGCCGCCGGCAUCAUCUAUGGCUGUCAGGAUCAUAUAGGCCGGACCGCCGAUAACGACGUCGGCCGAUGUGGCGCUCAUGGCGCGUGCGGCAUCCUUGGCCCUCGUGAGAAUAUGGCCAUGGACAUCAGCAUAGUCCGCGCGCCAAUUGUCUGAAUCGGGACGUACAGUGCGCGUCACAGCGACGACUGACCUGUCCGAAUGUAUACCGGUAUGCGGUUUACGCUCAACGGCAUAGACCGAUGGCGCGUGAGCGCCGGGCCAGGUGCUCUGUUUAAUCGUACCAUCGGCACUGCGCCGCACGCCCGUCCCCACAUAUUUGCUCUCGACAAAUUGCCCUGCGUAAGAUCCAAAUUCCGGCUGGUUUCUGCGCGAGAUGAUGCCGCGGCCGUUGCGUCUGCCCGAUGCCCAUUCGCCGUAAAACCACUGGCUGUCGGCCCACAUGUAGGUGCCCAAGCCGUGUCUCACCAGACCGUUAAAUGAUCCCAUAUAUCGGUCACCAUCUCCAUAGUCGGCCUCGCCUUGGCCCUGGAUGCCGUUGGGACCGAAUCGGUCCGCGCGGUAGCGGUGGCCCUUGUGCUCGACAACAAGCCCAGGGCCGACAAAGGUGCCUGCGCACCAGAUGCCUUCGCGCAAGCACACGUCUGGGUCGACCGCGCGUGUUCCGCUCUUUCCAGCGGCGACAUUGUUUGGCAGGGCAUAGGUCGCGGCCGCGUAGCCAUCGAGAACAAGACGGGGCACGUUGGUUUGGCCGUCAAAUGUGAUUGCCCACUCGCCGCUCUCGCACGUGACGCCGUCUGUCGACGGCACAGCGCCGAUGUAGCGACCAUGCGGCAGAUAGAUUGGACGCUUGCGCUGUCGGGCGAUUUCGAUCAUGUAAAGCCAUCGAAAGUGUCGGCCGUGCGAGGCGGCAUUGGUAUGCUCGUAAGGCGGCGUCGCGCGGCCAAAGUCGCGGCGGUAGAGAUGCGCCCACAGGCGGUCACACCGCGCCAUAACGUGGAGAGACGCACAGACGCCGUCGACGGUCGCCAGCGCCCGCACGGGCAACGACGACAGUAUUUCGGCGAUCAACUCGACGGGCAACGCCAAAAGACAGGCGGCGGGCGUCGCCGCACGAUCGGCAAUCGACUCUUGGACGUCCAUGGAAGUGUGGCUCUUUUUUUUGUGCCUGUAGGUGUUUGGCCUUUUUGUGCUCGGUGAGCGCCAACUUUUUGCGCGCAGUACCACAGGACGACCGAUUACGCCCCCUCCCCCGCAAGACCGACUCACGACAACAACCAAUGAGCGACACAAUCUUUUUAAUAUAAAAAAAAGGUAUGGGCCAG